AGAAUCAACGCUGGCGGCGCGCCUAACACAUGCAAGUCGAACGAGAAAGUGGAGCAAUCCAUGAGUACAGUGGCGUACGGGUGAGUAACACGUGGAUCAUCUGCCCUGGAGUGGGGAAUAACGCUGGGAAACCGGCGCUAAUACCGCAUAUUCCCGAGAGGGGAAAGCAGCAAUGCGCUCGAGGAGGAGUCCGCGGCCGAUUAGCUAGUUGGCAGGGUAAAAGCCUACCAAGGCUGUGAUCGGUAGCCGGCCUGAGAGGGCACACGGCCACACUGGCACUGAAACACGGGCCAGACUCCUACGGGAGGCAGCAGUGGGGAAUCUUGCACAAUGGGGGAAACCCUGAUGCAGCGACGCCGCGUGAGCGAUGAAGCCCUUCGGGGUGUAAAGCUCUUUCGGCAGGGACGAUUAUGACGGUACCUGCAGAAGCAGCUGCGGCUAACUACGUGCCAGCAGCCGCGGUAAUACGUAGGGAGCAAGCGUUGUUCGGAGUUACUGGGCGUAAAGGGUGUGUAGGCGGCCUGUUAAGUUCCGUGUGAAAUCUCCCGGCUCAACUGGGAGGGUGCGCGGAAAACUGGCGGGCUAGAGUGCGGGAUGGGAGAGUAGAAUUCCUGGUGUAGCGGUGAAAUGCGUAGAUAUCAGGAGGAAUACCGGUGGUGUAGACGGCUCUCUGGACCGUAACUGACGCUGAGACACGAAAGCGUGGGUAGCAAACAGGAUUAGAUACCCUGGUAGCCCACGCCCUAAACGAUGCAUAUUUGGUGUAGGUCAUUCAGUUGAUCUGUGCCGGAGCUAACGCGUUAAAUAUGCCGCCUGGGGAGUACAGUCGCAAGGCUG
RNAcentral lists this ribosomal RNA (837 nucleotides) under uncultured bacterium. RNAcentral's name for it is "bacterial SSU rRNA". It matches the Rfam family "Bacterial small subunit ribosomal RNA", at positions 26 to 896 of the family's 1533-position model. The record is from RNAcentral.